This 935-nucleotide long non-coding RNA is filed under the name Rosa chinensis. RNAcentral's name for it is "sRNA RchiOBHm_Chr2g0160461". The record is from RNAcentral. Lineage: Eukaryota; Viridiplantae; Streptophyta; Magnoliopsida; Rosales; Rosaceae.
AUGGACCCUACUCUGGAUUUCGAGGAAGAGGAAGAUGAAUAUGACAAAUUUGGGCGAUUUAUGGUUAUGUGUUCUUAUACUCAAUAGUUCUUCAAUUUGUUUUUGUGCUUUUUGUUUAUCAAAUUUGAUGUGAUUGGUAAUUAAAUUUAAUUCAGAUUUACCAUUUGCUUGUUUCUGGGAUGUGAGAGUUGUUCUGGUUUUUCUUGGUUUUGUUUGAGGUUACAGAUAGUGAUAAUCGUAGGGCUCUAUACACGAGUCACCAACAGGAGCCUAAAAACAGUAGACGUUUCAGAGCAUUUCUUGUCUUUGUUUAUUAAUCUAUCAUCAGAAAAUACAAUAUUGUUCUAUACAUGGACCAUAAUUUUAGCAUUUCUAAAUCAGCAAAUAGAUUAGUACAUUACUGAUAUCUAGCCAUACAAACUUAGCAUUACUAUACUAUGGCAAAGAAAGUUACACUCCACUGAAGCGCAGUGGCUAGAUUUGUUUGGCCAUGACUAUGACUGAAAUGAACUCUAUAAGCUUCAUGUUACAAUAUGCAGUACUCAAAAUGACAAUGAAUAUGCAAAUUGAAAUGUGGUACUCUGGGUUUAUGAAGCUCUUUUAUUCUGCAUCUAUAUAGUGUAAUCUGUAAUCAUCUAGAAAUUUAGAAUGGGAAGAGUUUAAUCUUCAUUUUUGAAUAUUUUCUCUGGCUUUGAUCGAAAGUAUACAUGGAUAUGUACAUCUAGUUUACAGAUUGGGAGAUACUCUUCCAAUGUUAUCUGGCUUAGCCAUGGAUGUUCACAUAAUCAAUGAUUAAUAUACUUAUGUUCAAAUUGAUUAGUCUCAUAUCAGAUCAUCACUUGUUGCAUACUUCCCCAGUUUAGUGCUUCUUCAUUUUUUUUUUUUUGAAAAUGGUAUAGUGCUUUUUCAUAGUAUUCUCCAGAUCAUGAUAACUU